Long non-coding RNA from Juglans microcarpa x Juglans regia, 1061 nucleotides. RefSeq lists it as uncharacterized. Lineage: Eukaryota; Viridiplantae; Streptophyta; Magnoliopsida; Fagales; Juglandaceae. The record is from RefSeq and is a predicted model, not a curated record. The transcript has 2 exons.
AGUGGGAUUCACUUUUUUACAAGAGGCUUGUAUAGAGCUUGUCUAUUUGGAGCUUGUAUCUAGCAUUACUCUUUUCUCUCUAUGCUUUAUGGCUUCCUCCAUUUUAUUUGCUGUUCAUUUGGCUCUUUCUCUUGUAUUUAGUGAGCGUCAUGGUGUGCCUUGUGAAUUCAUAUUGGAAGAAAGGUUACUCCCCAAGUUGAAACUCUUUACUCUGAAAAUAUUGUGAUUUGCCAAAACGUUUCAACAUCAUUCUACUAUACUGCCUUUACUGUUCAUUCCUGAACGGAAUAUGAUAUUUUGAUGUGUCUGUGAUUUUUAUACUGUUUUCUACCCAAAAAGAUGGGUUUGUGGUCCAUGUAGAAACAAUAAUUUGAAGAUUUUUUUAUUGUUACAAUUAAUUUUAUAGGUUGAACACUCUUGCAUCAAUCUUGAGUUUUUUCAUUUCCAUUUUGUUGCCAACUUUUUAAGCUCAAGGGUGGUUUUUUUCAGUUGGCUCCUAUGUUGUUUGCAGUAAAACUGUGAGAAUUGUAACUAGUUUUACUCUUCCAUUUUUCUUUUGUUUGAUGGUACUUAGUGGACCUUAUUUGUCUUCUUGGGACAUUUUCAUAUGUGAUCGAAUGUUAGUGAAUCAGAUUUUUUGAUCCCUGUGAUUGACCUUGCUCAUGAUCUUGUAAAUAUUUUCGUAAGUGGAGUUUUAUCGUCGGAGAUUUUGGCACGACUCUUGGUGUAGAUGUCUCCAUCAUUUUAUGUUUUACAUCUUUUGUUUGUAAGGCAUGAUGCCUUUUCAUCUUGACCUUUGUUUUGUUAAUUUUGCUAUGCAAAAACCAUAAAUUUUACUUUUGUAAUUUGGUUCAAUAGAGCCCUAGAUAAUGAAACCGUUUGUUUGUUUUACUCCCUCGUCACUUUGAAGAUAACUGCCAUUGGAGGCGACACUGAAUAGGAUUGGCAAUUAGUAAGGGACUGAAAGGCUAUGUAAUUACGUCGACAUCAUAGACUGGUGGAAAUAUAUAUGGAUCUCAUAAAAUAUUAGGAUAGCAAUGUAAUUACCCUGAGCUUUACUU